RNAcentral lists this ribosomal RNA (642 nucleotides) under uncultured Actinomycetes bacterium. RNAcentral's name for it is "bacterial SSU rRNA". It matches the Rfam family "Bacterial small subunit ribosomal RNA", at positions 229 to 887 of the family's 1533-position model. Lineage: Bacteria; Bacillati; Actinomycetota; Actinomycetes. The record is from RNAcentral.
AUUCGCGGCCUAUCAGCUUGUUGGUGGGGUGAUGGCCUACCAAGGCGACGACGGGUAGCCGGCCUGAGAGGGCGAUCGGCCACACUGGAACUGAGACACGGUCCAGACUCCUACGGGAGGCAGCAGUGGGGAAUAUUGCGCAAUGGGCGGAAGCCUGACGCAGCGACGCCGCGUGAGGGAUGAAGGUCUUCGGAUUGUAAACCUCUUUCAGUAGGGACGAAUUUGACGGUACCUGCAGAAGAAGCACCGGCCAACUACGUGCCAGCAGCCGCGGUAAUACGUAGGGUGCGAGCGUUGUCCGGAAUUAUUGGGCGUAAAGAGCUCGUAGGCGGUUCGUCGCGUCGAAUGUGAAAUCCCGGGGCUCAACUCCGGGUCUGCAUUCGAUACGGGCGGACUAGAGUUCGGUAGGGGAGACUGGAAUUCCUGGUGUAGCGGUGAAAUGCGCAGAUAUCAGGAGGAACACCGGUGGCGAAGGCGGGUCUCUGGGCCGAUACUGACGCUGAGGAGCGAAAGCGUGGGGAGCGAACAGGAUUAGAUACCCUGGUAGUCCACGCCGUAAACGGUGGGCGCUAGGUGUGGGGGACUUCCACGUUCUCUGUGCCGCAGCUAACGCAUUAAGCGCCCCGCCUGGGGAGUACGGAA